UCUAAUGUGGCAGAUUAGUGCAACGGAUUUAAGCUCCGUAUAUAAAGAUCCGAAACUUUCAUUAGAA
Molecule: transfer RNA, 67 nt
Filed under: Flavoperla sp. YW-2019
Lineage: Eukaryota; Metazoa; Arthropoda; Insecta; Plecoptera; Perlidae
Description: tRNA-Leu
Rfam family: tRNA
About the family: Transfer RNA (tRNA) molecules are approximately 80 nucleotides in length. Their secondary structure includes four short double-helical elements and three loops (D, anti-codon, and T loops). Further hydrogen bonds mediate the characteristic L-shaped molecular structure. tRNAs have two regions of fundamental functional importance: the anti-codon, which is responsible for specific mRNA codon recognition, and the 3' end, to which the tRNAs corresponding amino acid is attached (by aminoacyl-tRNA synthetases). tRNAs cope with the degeneracy of the genetic code in two manners: having more than one tRNA (with a specific anti-codon) for a particular amino acid; and 'wobble' base-pairing, i.e. permitting non-standard base-pairing at the 3rd anti-codon position.
Source: RNAcentral